UACGUCCGCUACGUUCUCAAAACUCAGGCAAUUUGAUAAUACCUAGAAUAUCAAAAUCAACUGCGGGCGGCAGAUCCUUUUCCUAUUUGGCGCCUAAACUCUGGAAUAACCUACCUAACAUUGUUCGGGAGGCAGACACACUCUUGCAGUUUAAAUCUAGAUUAAAGACCCAUCUCUUUAACCUGGCAUACACAUAACAUACUAAUAUGCUUUUAAUAUCCAAAUCCGUUAAAGGAUUUUUAGGCUGCAUUAAUUAGGUAAACUGGAACCGGAACACUUCACAUAACACCGUACUUUCUACAUCAUUAGAAGAAUGGCAUCUACGCUAAUAUUUGUCUGUUUCUCUCUUGUUCCGAGGUCACCGUGGCCACCAGAUCCAGUCUGUGUCCAGAUCAGAGGGUCACUGCAGUCACCCGGAUCCAGUACGUAUCCAGACCAGAUGGUGGAUCAGCACCUAGAAAGGACCUCUACUGACCUGAAAGACAGCGGAGACCAGGACAACUAGAGCCCCAGAUACAGAUCCCCUGUAAAGACCUUGUCUCAGAGGAGCACCAGGACAAGACCACAGGAAACAGAUGAUUCUUCUGCACAAUCUGACUUUGCUGCAGCCUGGAAUUGAACUACUGGUUUCGUCUGGUCAGAGGAGAACUGGCCCCCCAACUGAGCCUGGUUUCUCCCAAGGUUUUUUUCUCCAUUCUGUCACCGAUGGAGUUUCGGUUCCUUGCCGCUGUCGCCUCUGGCUUGCUUAGUUGGGGUCACUUCAUCUACAGCGAUAUCGUUGACUUGAUUGCAAAUUAAAACAGACACUAUUUCAACUGAACAGAGAUGACAUCAAUGAAUUCAAUGAUGAACUGCCUUUAACUAUCAUUUUGCAUUAUUGAGACACUGUUUUCCAAAUGAAUGUUGUUCAGUGCUUUGGCGCAAUGUAUUUUGUUUAAAGCACUAUAUAAAUAAAGGUGAUUGAUUGAUUGAUU
This is a long non-coding RNA of Carassius gibelio (silver crucian carp), 974 nucleotides long. RefSeq lists it as uncharacterized. The record is from RefSeq and is a predicted model, not a curated record. Lineage: Eukaryota; Metazoa; Chordata; Actinopteri; Cypriniformes; Cyprinidae. The transcript has 2 exons.